AUUGAACGCUGGCGGCAGGCCUAACACAUGCAAGUCGAGCGGAUGAAGGGAGCUUGCUCCUGGAUUCAGCGGCGGACGGGGGAGUAAUGCCUAGGAAUCUGCCUGGCAGUGGGGGAUAACGUCCGGAAACGGGCGCUAAUACCGCAUACGUCCUGAGGGAGAAAGUGGGGGAUCUUCGGACCUCACGCUAUCAGAUGAGCCUAGGUCGGAUUAGCUAGUUGGUGGGGUAAAGGCCUACCAAGGCGACGAUCCGUAACUGGUCUGAGAGGAUGAUCAGUCACACUGGAACUGAGACACGGUCCAGACUCCUAUGGGAGGCAGCAGUGGGGAAUAUUGGACAAUGGGCGAAAGCCUGAUCCAGCCAUGCCGCGUGUGUGAAGAAGGUCUUCGGAUUGUAAAGCACUUUAAGUUGGGAGGAAGGGCAGUAAGUUAAUACCUUGCUGUUUUGACGUUACCAACAGAAUAAGCACCGGCUAACUUCGUG
This 484-nucleotide ribosomal RNA is filed under the name uncultured bacterium. Its description in RNAcentral is "partial 16S ribosomal RNA". It matches the Rfam family "Bacterial small subunit ribosomal RNA", at positions 30 to 507 of the family's 1533-position model. The record is from RNAcentral.